AAGUCGUAACAAGGUUUCCGUAGGUGAACCUGCGGAAGGAUCAUUAAUGAAUCUAGGGUACGCUUCUGCAAAGAAGCUGCCCGAAAAAUCAUUAUUUUUUCACACCUGUGCAUUUGAAAACCUUUUUAACACUUGUGUUGAUUGAAAGUCGAUUGAUAUUUAUUAAAACGAAAGUAAAACUUUCAGCAAUGGAUCUCUUGGCUCUC
RNAcentral lists this unclassified non-coding RNA (206 nucleotides) under air metagenome. Its description in RNAcentral is "partial contains small subunit ribosomal RNA, internal transcribed spacer 1, and 5.8S ribosomal RNA". The stretch from base 1 to 46 matches the Rfam family "Eukaryotic small subunit ribosomal RNA", at positions 1786 to 1831 of the family's 1831-position model. The record is from RNAcentral.